AGUCUAACCCUUAAAAAAGACUUUUUUAAGGUAUGACUAAAAUACCAAUCACGAAUAAAGAACUCCUCGUCAGGGUUCCGUGAUUGGUCAUAUGGGGAAACCUAUAUGUGAGCCGAAAGGCUCU
This 124-nucleotide small RNA is filed under the name unclassified sequences. Its description in RNAcentral is "LOOT RNA". It matches the Rfam family "LOOT RNA". From Rfam's summary of the family: Latescibacteria, OD1/Parcubacteria, OP11, TM7. The record is from Rfam by way of RNAcentral.